Small nuclear RNA from Kogia breviceps (pygmy sperm whale), 103 nucleotides. The record is from RefSeq and is a predicted model, not a curated record. NCBI's taxonomy places the organism in Eukaryota, Metazoa, Chordata, Mammalia, Artiodactyla, Physeteridae.
UUGCUUUGGCAGCAUGUAUAGUAAAAUUGAAAUGAUACAGAGAAGAUUAGCAUGGCCCGUGCACAAGGAUGACAUGGAAAUUUGUGAAGCAUUCCAUAUUUUU